RNAcentral lists this long non-coding RNA (1433 nucleotides) under Gallus gallus (chicken). Lineage: Eukaryota; Metazoa; Chordata; Aves; Galliformes; Phasianidae. The record is from RNAcentral.
CGAACCGUGACAAAAUGGCGGCCGCGGGGUGCAGUGCGGUACAGUCCCGCUCCGCCUGCUGGAUGUGCUUUUACCCUCUCGCGAUACAAAGAUAAAAGCGCUGCAAAACAGCGCUACUAAAUACGAGACAGACACAGUUUAAGAAAAAAUUUACUGAUCCAUUAGCACUUCUGCCAGUAUUGCAACAGACAUGAAAGGCAACCACUGUUACAGUUUAGAAAACCAAGUUUUAUACAGUUAGAAUGUUAAACAAAUCUCAAAAAAAGAAAAACAAACAAACAGAAACCAGUGGCUGAGGAACAAGCCUGGAAUUUCAGACGCAGUAGCACCUACAGCACCACCAAAAGCCAAAACACUUCAUCUGUUCUGUAGAAUUUCUCAGUUUAAGUUCUUGAAUUCCUUCCACAAUUGGAUAAUGGCGCUCAGAACUCAAAUCCUUGAGACGGGAAAAGGAUACAAGAGGAAAGGAUGAAACCAACCAGGUUUCUAGGAACCGUGCUUUUAGCUAUUGCUGAGGAAUGUUAAUGCACAAACAGACGGAGUAACGCACAGCUCUACUUCUCAACAGCGUGCCAGCAAACAAGAGUUAAGAAACCAUCUUACACAACAGCUAAGUUUGUCAAAUCAGCAUUUUCCUAUAAGUUAUAAUAAAUUCAUAAAGAAACAGUUUUACACUUCACAUAUUAAUCAGAGUAGGGGAAGAGUUACGUUUAUUGGUUCAGCAUCCAUUUUAUUGUACUUCCUGUUUUAUCCAAGAAUAGACUCCCUCUUCUGAUCAGCACUGACAGAUACAAUAACAGCACAUACACAGCAGUAGAAAAAACACCAGGAAUGAAGUCCAGCUAUUCCUCCCUCUCUUCUAGGAAUAACCAAAACAUUAAAACAAGAAACACUUUGCCUUCUAGUUUUCCAUAAGAAACAGUACAGGAAGCUUAAAAUGCUUGUUGCCUUGAGUCACUUCUCACCAGGAAGAGGCACCAUGUAUCCCUCACUGCAAUACUGAACUCGAGGGAAAGCCUUUCUUCUGUAAAGUUCCACUCUGACUUGUAGGUUUCCAAAGCCCAAUCGAUGUACAGAAAGUUUAAGAAGUAGGGAGGAACAGCACCACAUUUACAUGACUAGACUUCUGUCGGGCUAAGCGGUUCUGUCAGAAGAGUACGCAGCUUCACCAUUUCUGCUCUUUUCUUGAGAAACUUAACAGUGAUCUCACUGCUCAAUAAUUUGCCACAAAAUGUAUGCUGACCAGCUGGGUCACACCACGUGGAGUAGUUUUAGGAAGUCAGUCCCUGUAGAAAAUGGCACUGUGGAUCUGGCAGCAGAAAGAGGAAUGAUGCUCUAAAGUAGGAGGUAGGGGAACUGAUACAGCAAGUCCACUGUUGAGCUGUCUGCUGAGACUCCACAGUUUUAUCUUCCACUGCUCAUGCCUCUGUCUU